RNAcentral lists this ribosomal RNA (253 nucleotides) under uncultured bacterium. RNAcentral's name for it is "partial 16S ribosomal RNA". It matches the Rfam family "Bacterial small subunit ribosomal RNA", at positions 524 to 776 of the family's 1533-position model. The record is from RNAcentral.
UACAGAGGUCUCAACCGUUGUUCGGAUUCAUUGGGCGUAAAGGGUGCGUAGGCGGUCGCGCAAGUCGGAUGUGAAAUCUCGAGGCUCAACCUCGAAACUGCAUUCGAUACUGCGUGGCUAGAGUGCUGGAGGGGAGACUGGAAUUUACGGUGUAGCAGUGAAAUGCGUAGAUAUCGUAAGGAAGACCAGUGGCGAAGGCGAGUCUCUGGACAGCAACUGACGCUGAGGCACGAAGGCCAGGGGAGCAAACGGG